AAUAUUGCUACUAUUAUCGUGUAUCAUAUGGGGAGUUAUAGAAAUAUAUUAUAAUUAUAAUGAUGGGUGUCAUUUUUUUUUUAACUUAUGAAUUAUGCUAUAUAUAUAGUAAUAGUAUUAUCGUUUUAACACAUAUUUUUUUUUAUUUUAAACUUAUUCAUAAAUAAUUUAUAUUUGAUUCCUAUUUAAUGUAGGUGUAAAAUAAUUUUAGAUUGACGGACAUGUCUACUAAACUGAACUUUUAUUUAUCAUCACUUAAUAAAAAAAUGUCAUAGUCCCAUAAGUCCUGGCUCAACUUGCAAAAUUGCCGAAAUUGUUAGGCCGGACGUCGUGAUCCGGGAUCACACAAUUAUUUGUGAGUUUAAUUUCAAUGAAUUACCACUUCAUCUAAGACAAAAAAAAAAUGUUAUAUUCCUUAUUCAUUUAUUUAUUGUUGUAGAAUUUAACUAAUAUUAUUCAGUUAUUUAUUGUUGUAGAAUUUAAUUAAUAUUGUUGUAAAAAAUACCUUCUAAAGCACAAAAAAAAUUAUAAUCACCAAGCGACUUUAGUUUUAUUUUUAAAGUUCUUAAUUUUAACUUUAAGCUUAAAAUAUCUUUUAUAACAAAAAAAAAGUUAGGUAAAUGGUACUUAAGAGCCUGUUUGUUAUAGUUCUUUUAAAAAUAGAUUUUUAUAGUAUAAUACAUUUUUGCUAUAACUUUUUAACAAAGAAAUUUUUAAGGCAAGUUUCUAAUGAAAAAUUUGUUUGAAUAGCUUAUGUUAAAAUGUAAUUCUAAGUAUUUCAUGUGUU
This 787-nucleotide long non-coding RNA is filed under the name Trifolium pratense (red clover). Its description in RNAcentral is "long non-coding RNA (TPRA_LNC008110)". Lineage: Eukaryota; Viridiplantae; Streptophyta; Magnoliopsida; Fabales; Fabaceae. The record is from RNAcentral.